AGUGAACGCUGGCGGCGUGCUUAACACAUGCAAGUCGAACGAGAACGGAUUAUAGCUUGCUAUAAUUGUCAGCUAAGUGGCGCACGGGUGAGUAAUGUAUAGAUAACCUGCCCUCUAGAAAGGAAUAACAGUUGGAAACGACUGCUAAUGCCCUAUAUGCCUUUAAUACAUAAGUAUGCAAGGGAAACGCUUUAGUGCUAGAGGAUGGGUCUGUAUGGUAUCAGUUAGUUGGUGAGGUAAUGGCUCACCAAGACUAUGACGCCUAACUGGUUUGAGAGGAUGAUCAGUCACACUGGAACUGAGACACGGUCCAGACUCCUACGGGAGGCAGCAGUGGGGAAUAUUGCACAAUGGACGAAAGUCUGAUGCAGCAACGCCGCGUGGAGGAUGACACAUUUCGGUGCGUAAACUCCUUUUAUAUAGGAAGAUAAUGACGGUACUAUAUGAAUAAGCACCGGCUAACUCCGUGCCAGCAGCCGCCGUAA
This 485-nucleotide ribosomal RNA is filed under the name uncultured bacterium. RNAcentral's name for it is "partial 16S ribosomal RNA". It matches the Rfam family "Bacterial small subunit ribosomal RNA", at positions 29 to 523 of the family's 1533-position model. The record is from RNAcentral.